UACAGAGGGUGCGAGCGUUAAUCGGAAUUACUGGGCGUAAAGGGCGCGUAGGCGGUUAGAUAAGUGAGAUGUGAAAUCCCUGGGCUUAACCUAGGAACUGCAUCUUAUACUGUUUAGCUUGAGUGCAGUAGAGGGUAGUGGAAUUUCCGGUGUAGCGGUGAAAUGCGUAGAUAUCGGAAGGAACACCAGUGGCGAAGGCGGCUACCUGGACUGACACUGACGCUGAGGCGCGAGAGCGUGGGGAGCAAACAGG
This 253-nucleotide ribosomal RNA is filed under the name uncultured bacterium. Its description in RNAcentral is "partial 16S ribosomal RNA". It matches the Rfam family "Bacterial small subunit ribosomal RNA", at positions 524 to 776 of the family's 1533-position model. The record is from RNAcentral.